GACUUAGGGUUUUAUCUGACAGAAUUCCACGAGUUUUGGUGUUUGUCUAUUUCUGCAGGGGGUUAUCAGGAAAUAAGGAAGAAAGGCCCACAUGUCGGGAUUACAUAGAGAUAUCAGCCCGAAACGGGCCAGGCCCAGGGCGCCCGCCCUGAGGACCUGGGCGCCCGCCCACCUCUGGACUCUGUUCCGGACUCUCUUUGCACACGACGUUCCACC
This 216-nucleotide long non-coding RNA is filed under the name Sorghum bicolor (sorghum). RNAcentral's name for it is "long non-coding RNA (SBIC_LNC003274)". The record is from RNAcentral. Lineage: Eukaryota; Viridiplantae; Streptophyta; Magnoliopsida; Poales; Poaceae.